AUUUCAUCUAGAAGAGGGGCACAUGAGUUUCUUUUAUUUUUUAUUUUAGUGUAUUUUAUUUGAAUUAUUACCGUGAUGAAUUGCUUUCAAUGUUUAGCUUACUUGUUAAAUUUUAAUAGUUUUAAUUAUGUGUGGAUAUUUGUCUUUUGUAGUGUUGGGUUUGGCAUCUUCUUUUAUUUUCAUGUUUUCAAUUAUGUUUGGUUGAAUUUAAUUUCCAGUUUUAAUUUAAUUUAAUUUUCCUCGCAAGAACACUUUCAACCCCCCCCCUUUGUGUUAGACUUAAUUCCUGAACCAUGGUUUGGUCCUUGAGAGACUAAGAGUCAUUUCCUAGCUAUACUGCAUUUCUCAUAUGCAAUCAAAUUUGUAUGGGUUGCGACACCCAUCAAUGAUAAAUGCCUCCCAAUGCAAAGGUCACCAAAACCCCAAACUUUUGACAAUAGAAUGGUUGAAAGAUGAGAUUUUUGUGAGUAGGAGAUGGGAAAACUAGACAAAACCCUUUGGAAAGCUCUUGAAAAUGAAAGAUAGGUGCUAGGGUUCAUAGAGACCGCUUGGGCGAACUCUAAAGAGGAAUUUUCA
RNAcentral lists this long non-coding RNA (576 nucleotides) under Vigna radiata. Its description in RNAcentral is "long non-coding RNA (VRAD_LNC012334)". Lineage: Eukaryota; Viridiplantae; Streptophyta; Magnoliopsida; Fabales; Fabaceae. The record is from RNAcentral.